This 369-nucleotide long non-coding RNA is filed under the name Equus caballus (horse). RNAcentral describes it as "lncRNA (ENSECAG00000044317.1)". Lineage: Eukaryota; Metazoa; Chordata; Mammalia; Perissodactyla; Equidae. The record is from RNAcentral.
CCUCAGUGGGUGCAGAAGACUGGGACCUACUUAGGGCAUGAGCUAUCUCAAGGCGUUCCAAAGCUCACCCCCAAACGCUGUGCAUCCAUUUUGUCCAUCCUUCUCCCCAAAACAAAAAAACAGGUCUCUUACCGCUCAUCCUCUAACCUGCUCUCUCUCUACAGCCACCAGCUCAGCUUUCACGUGAGACUUCCAGGGAAGUUUCAGAGGAGGGAACUGUGGGGGCCCAGGACAGUCUGCCUCAAGAUAUUCCACAAUGGCAUGUUGACUAUUUGAGUUAAAGUUACUUAAAAAGCCAAAAGGGGCUUUCUGAGCCUCCUGUCUCUGUUCCUCUGAAAGCAGGAAUGAAUCUCCCAUAUGAGAGGUGCC